Anoplophora glabripennis (Asian longhorned beetle) is the source of this 204-nucleotide long non-coding RNA. RefSeq lists it as uncharacterized. The record is from RefSeq and is a predicted model, not a curated record. NCBI's taxonomy places the organism in Eukaryota, Metazoa, Arthropoda, Insecta, Coleoptera, Cerambycidae. The transcript is spliced from 2 exons.
UUAAUAAUUGGCUGCAAAAUUUACCGAUUUCCCAGUAUUUGUUUUUUAGAAGUAUAUUUUGAAAUAAUAUGGAAAUUUGUAGUUGAUGUAUAAUUAUUAUAUUAGUAAAAGCUGUUGGAAUCAAAACUUGAAAGAUGCUGUUAUUUAAACAAUGCUGGAAGUUGAAGAAGCUGAAGAAAAGAAGUUUUAAUUGGAUUAUUUAAC